Long non-coding RNA from Amphiprion ocellaris (clown anemonefish), 886 nucleotides. The record is from Ensembl. NCBI's taxonomy places the organism in Eukaryota, Metazoa, Chordata, Actinopteri, Pomacentridae.
CCUCCUCUUCGCUUUGCGUCUGUCUUUCUGGUUUGACCUGUCUCCCUUUGGCUCACUCUGUCUGUCAUCUCUCCCUCUUCUCUCUCUCUCUCCCUGUGUCUUGCUCUCCCUGCUUCACCUGCCUGCACUCAGCUGAUUACUGCAGGUGAUGCGUUGCAGUAAUCAGCUCACCUGCUCACUAUUUAAACCUCAUUCCUUCACUCACUCUCCGCUGGAUCAUAUACUCACAUCCUCACUUUUGGACUCCGGUUUUCUGCCCUGGAUUUCCCCCACAUGGACUCUGAUCUUCUCCCAGAUUCUCACCAGCCCUGCUUCUGUCUCCAGCCUGUUUUUCGUGUCUCGCCUCUGUCUGCCCCUGGAUUCCCUAAGCCCAUCUUCCCCCUCUGUUGUCAGUACCUUUAGACAGAAAAACAGUGAAUCAGAUAUUACCCUGUGUCACUCUGGGAGAUGUUUUAUUGUCCUGCAGCUUCCUGCUGUGUGAUUGGAGCUGAUCUCUGGUCUGUGGUUGGAGGUUUCCCCGGUUUACUGUCAUCUUGAUGUUUCUCAACAUGAAUGUGUGACAGAGUCCUCAGAUGGAUGAUGAAGGACUGAUGAAGGAGAAUCAGCAGCUUCUCUUGGAUGUGGAUCUGAACUCACCCGGUGUUUCUGUUAUGAAUCAGUAUGAGGACAGAGCAAAGGGAGUCCCUCCCUCUAAAGCCACUCUGUGGAAGGAGUAUGAGAACCAGACCAAAGCUCAGAGAACAAAGCAGCAGAACAGACCUCAACCUGAAUGUGAACCUGGGUGGGAAGUCAUCUGAGUUUCUGUGAAAAAUCUCAAGCAUAUUUAUAAACUUCCUGAGUUUAAAAAAUGAUCAAAGAAUGUUUUAUUUAUUAUUUUCUAUUGCAG